This 468-nucleotide ribosomal RNA is filed under the name uncultured bacterium. Its description in RNAcentral is "partial 16S ribosomal RNA". It matches the Rfam family "Bacterial small subunit ribosomal RNA", at positions 28 to 507 of the family's 1533-position model. The record is from RNAcentral.
GACGAACGCUGGCGGCGUGCUUAACACAUGCAAGUCGAACGGAAAGGCCCUGCUUUUGUGGGGUGCUCGAGUGGCGAACGGGUGAGUAACACGUGAGUAACCUGCCCUUGACUUUGGGAUAACUUCAGGAAACUGGGGCUAAUACCGGAUAGGAGCUCCUGCUGCAUGGUGGGGGUUGGAAAGUUUCGGCGGUUGGGGAUGGACUCGCGGCUUAUCAGCUUGUUGGUGGGGUAGUGGCUUACCAAGGCUUUGACAGGUAGCCGGCCUGAGAGGGUGACCGGCCACAUUGGGACUGAGAUACGGCCCAGACUCCUACGGGAGGCAGCAGCGGGGAAUAUUGCACAUUGGGCGGAAGCCUGAUGCAGCAACGCCGCGUGCGGGAUGACGGCCUUCGGGUUGUAAACCGCUUUCGCCUGUGACGAAGCGUGAGUGACGGUAAUGGGUAAAGAAGCACCGGCUAACUACGUG